RNAcentral lists this ribosomal RNA (510 nucleotides) under uncultured bacterium. RNAcentral's name for it is "bacterial SSU rRNA". It matches the Rfam family "Bacterial small subunit ribosomal RNA", at positions 15 to 518 of the family's 1533-position model. The record is from RNAcentral.
GAUUCUGGCUCAGGAUGAACGCUAGCUACAGGCUAACACAUGCAAGUCGAGGGGCAGCAUUGGAGUAGCAAUACUCAGAUGGCGACCGGCGCGCGGGUGAGUAACACGUAUCCAACCUGCCGCUUACUCGGGGAUAGCCUUUCGAAAGAAAGAUUAAUACCCGAUGGUAUAAAGAGUUCGCAUGUUCUCUUUAUUAAAGGAUUUCGGUAAGCGAUGGGGAUGCGUUCCAUUAGAUAGUUGGCGGGGUAACGGCCCACCAAGUCUACGAUGGAUAGGGGUUCUGAGAGGAAGGUCCCCCCACAUUGGAACUGAGACACGGUCCAAACUCCUACGGGAGGCAGCAGUGAGGAAUAUUGGUCAAUGGACGAGAGUCUGAACCAGCCAAGUAGCGUGAAGGAUGACUGCCCUAUGGGUUGUAAACUUCUUUUAUAAGGGAAUAAAGUGAGGGACGUGUCCCUUUUUGUAUGUACCUUAUGAAUAAGGAUCGGCUAACUCCGUGCCAGCCGCAGC